Molecule: ribosomal RNA, 503 nt
Filed under: uncultured Enterobacter sp.
Lineage: Bacteria; Pseudomonadati; Pseudomonadota; Gammaproteobacteria; Enterobacterales; Enterobacteriaceae
Description: bacterial SSU rRNA
Rfam family: Bacterial small subunit ribosomal RNA
Source: RNAcentral
UUCCAGAGAUGGAUUGGUGCCUUCGGGAACUCUGAGACAGGUGCUGCAUGGCUGUCGUCAGCUCGUGUCGUGAACUGUCGGGUUAAGUCCCGCAACGAGCGCAACCCUUAUCCUUUGUUGCCAGCGGUCCGGCCGGGAACUCAAAGGAGACUGCCAGUGAUAAACUGGAGGAAGGUGGGGAUGACGUCAAGUCAUCAUGGCCCUUACGAGUAGGGCUACACACGUGCUACAAUGGCGCAUACAAAGAGAAGCGAACUCGCGAGAGCAAGCGGACCUCAUAAAGUGCGUCGUAGUCCGGAUUGGAGUCUGCAACUCGACUCCAUGAAGUCGGAAUCGCUAGUAAUCGUAGAUCAGAAUGCUACGGUGAAUACGUUCCCGGGCCUUGUACACACCGCCCGUCACACCAUGGGAGUGGGUUGCAAAAGAAGUAGGUAGCUUAACCUUCGGGAGGGCGCUUACCACUUUGUGAUUCAUGACUGGGGUGAAGUCGUAACAAGGUAACC